This 1197-nucleotide long non-coding RNA is filed under the name Pogona vitticeps (central bearded dragon). RNAcentral's name for it is "lncRNA (ENSPVIG00000018431.1)". The record is from RNAcentral. Lineage: Eukaryota; Metazoa; Chordata; Lepidosauria; Squamata; Agamidae.
GAGCCCUCUUCCCACCACAGGGGUGGCUGGGUGGUCAAUCAGUGGCUCCCACUGGCCUUGGUCAGCACGGCCUGGCCUGCGGGUGGACAAGGCUUGAGUCGGGGGGGGGGGUUUCCUGGAGAACUGGUUGAGAGGAGUUGGAGAGGAGGGUACAUUGGGCAACGAGGUGGUGGUGGGGGCUCAGAGGGAGGGACCCCUCUGUGAGCAAAGGUGGUGCACAUCAUCCUCUGGGCUGGGCUGCAGGCCAGCCGUUUUGCCAGGGCUCAGUCCAGGGGUCCACAGCCAAGAGAUGUGCCGACUGCACCCCAAAAUACCACGAGGCCCCCACGGGGCUUCCUCCCUUGCCCCCAAAUCCUCCCACGUAAACGUGGCUGCCCAACCGUCCUCCUGGGGGGGGGCAGCUCCUCUCUCACCAAAAGAACUGCAGAGUCAGUGGCAGGCAGGCAGCCCCCCCCCCGCGUGGCCGGGAAAUGGGGGGGGGGCAAACCAAGCAGGGAGAGGCUUUCAGCCUCGGGCAACCUCUGCAGCAGGAGGAGGAGGAGGAGGAGGUCCCGCCUGGAAAGAGGCAACGACCCCGCUGGCAUCCCUGAGCUGCCCAGAAUCAUCGAGGCCAUCUUAAAUCCCGGGGAGAGCAAAGAGGGAAAGGAAAGCCAGUUCGGGAGCACCCAAGGCAGUGGGGCUGCCGCGCGUGUGCGUGUGUCUCCUCCCCCCCCCGCCCAUCUUGAAGGGCGGGGAGAACACCUGGCAGGCAGGGGUCCAAGGUGGUUGUGCCCCCCCCUCCCCGGCCUUCCAGGAGUUGUGCCUGGGGGUCUGGGCUGGGUGGGGGCAGAGCCUGGAGAUCCGUCUGGGUCAGGGAGAGAAAGCCUUUCCGGCCCGGCGAGGAACACGAACACACACACGCACACACUUCUAGCAAAGGGGCCCAAAGGCCGGCCUGCCUGCGGAGGGGUCCAAGGUGGCGGUGCCCCCCCCUCCCGGGCCUUCCAGGAGUUGUGCCUGGGGGUCUGGGCUGGGUGGGGGCAGAGCCUGGAGAUCCGUCUGGGUCAGGGAGAGAAAGCCUUUCCGGCCCGGCGAGGAACACGAACACACACACGCACACACUUCUAGCAAAGGGGCCCAAAGGCCGGCCUGCCUGCGGCUUUGGGGGGCUCCACAGCUCCCCCCCCUCGCAACACCCCGGNNNNNNNNNNNNNNNNN